ACUGCGGGCCGUGACUGGCGCGCUGGGAUGGGACCGACCAUCGGGGAGCGGCCCGAACGGGAAAGAGUGCCGUGCGCCUGGGCCGUACCG
RNAcentral lists this non-coding RNA (90 nucleotides) under Streptomyces sp. RNAcentral's name for it is "ZTP sequence". It matches the Rfam family "ZMP/ZTP riboswitch aptamer (pfl RNA motif)". Rfam says of the family: Previously known as pfl RNA. RNAcentral also lists the same sequence under 1 other name. The record is from RNAcentral. Lineage: Bacteria; Bacillati; Actinomycetota; Actinomycetes; Kitasatosporales; Streptomycetaceae.